Molecule: ribosomal RNA, 1078 nt
Filed under: uncultured Micrococcus sp.
Lineage: Bacteria; Bacillati; Actinomycetota; Actinomycetes; Micrococcales; Micrococcaceae
Description: bacterial SSU rRNA
Rfam family: Bacterial small subunit ribosomal RNA
Source: RNAcentral
GCUGGGUGGAUUAGUGGCGAACGGGUGAGUAACACGUGAGUAACCUGCCCUUAACUCUGGGAUAAGCCUGGGAAACUGGGUCUAAUACCGGAUAGGAGCGCCUACCGCAUGGUGGGUGUUGGAAAGAUUUAUCGGUUUUGGAUGGACUCGCGGCCUAUCAGCUUGUUGGUGAGGUAAUGGCUCACCAAGGCGACGACGGGUAGCCGGCCUGAGAGGGUGACCGGCCACACUGGGACUGAGACACGGCCCAGACUCCUACGGGAGGCAGCAGUGGGGAAUAUUGCACAAUGGGCGCAAGCCUGAUGCAGCGACGCCGCGUGAGGGAUGACGGCCUUCGGGUUGUAAACCUCUUUCAGUAGGGAAGAAGCGAAAGUGACGGUACCUGCAGAAGAAGCACCGGCUAACUACGUGCCAGCAGCCGCGGUAAUACGUAGGGUGCGAGCGUUAUCCGGAAUUAUUGGGCGUAAAGAGCUCGUAGGCGGUUUGUCGCGUCUGUCGUGAAAGUCCGGGGCUUAACCCCGGAUCUGCGGUGGGUACGGGCAGACUAGAGUGCAGUAGGGGAGACUGGAAUUCCUGGUGUAGCGGUGGAAUGCGCAGAUAUCAGGAGGAACACCGAUGGCGAAGGCAGGUCUCUGGGCUGUAACUGACGCUGAGGAGCGAAAGCAUGGGGAGCGAACAGGAUUAGAUACCCUGGUAGUCCAUGCCGUAAACGUUGGGCACUAGGUGUGGGGACCAUUCCACGGUUUCCGCGCCGCAGCUAACGCAUUAAGUGCCCCGCCUGGGGAGUACGGCCGCAAGGCUAAAACUCAAAGGAAUUGACGGGGGCCCGCACAAGCGGCGGAGCAUGCGGAUUAAUUCGAUGCAACGCGAAGAACCUUACCAAGGCUUGACAUGUUCUCGAUCGCCGUAGAGAUACGGUUUCCCCUUUGGGGCGGGUUCACAGGUGGUGCAUGGUUGUCGUCAGCUCGUGUCGUGAGAUGUUGGGUUAAGUCCCGCAACGAGCGCAACCCUCGUUCCAUGUUGCCAGCACGUAAUGGUGGGGACUCAUGGGAGACUGCCGGGGUCAACUCGGAGGAAG